CCCUGAUACCCUGUGUAAAAGGAAGUUUGGAAGGCAGCUGACUUCUCCAAAGAGCUGUGGCAGGUCAAAAACACAGCCAGGAUUUCCAAUCUACUGAACCACAGAGCAUAGGGGGGGUCCACUCUGAACAUGUGGCAUGAAGAGGUCACUUGAUCCUGAAAAAUGCACAGAAUCCAUCUUCAUCAUGUUUUUAAUUAAAUUUUCCAUUUAUUCAAAAUGCAGGUGGGAUCUGAUCCAAACACUGGAAAGCUGAACUCUUGAGUACCAGCUUCCACUUCUUGUCCUGGACUCAACCGAAGCUUUUCUGGAGAAGAAAUCUCUGAACACCAUGCUCACUAUUUUCACUGGAAUGACAAAACAUGCUUUCUUUGAAUUUUACAAUUGGCACAAAAGCACAUGUGACAGCAGUUUCACAACACACAUGUCCUGCAACACAAUCUGGCUUGCAACAGCAGAAACUGAAACUGGAGAAGGGCAUUUCAUAUCCGGCAGACAAAAGUGGUGAUAUCCAAGACUUCCUGAGUUCCUGUGCCUUGAUUCUGUAACAUUUUGUUGAUUUGACUGUGAGUUAUGACUUGCAAAAGCAAAAUAGAACUUCGGUUUUUAUUUCUGGAAGCUGCCCUGGCCUGAAGCCCAAGACCCAGCCUUCCACUUCCUUCAUCAGUCCAUACCUCCCACUCCGUUACGGGUUCUGGUUUUGCCAUGCCACAUCCCUUGGACAGAGGGAUGCGUCUUCAUGGGCCAGCAAGGAAAACUUACAAGGAAAAUACUCAUAAAUUUCGUUUGCUAUAGAAUCUCGUGAAUGGGAACCCCCAAAGGAAACUUUUUAUCAUGGUCUUGCAGCUGUGCUGUUCAUCUGCUGGAAGAAUAAAAAGACUGAUGGUCUUACUCUUUUAAUAGACAUAAAAAUAAGGGCAGUUUCAAGUUCACUUUGUUGGUCCAGACUGAACAAGAUGGGACCUUGCAGCAACUAUCAACCUGUCUGCUCACAAAAAGUCAGAAUGCCAGGAUUAAAGGAAAGAAAAGUGAAGGAGGAGAAAGUGUUCUUGUGACCUAAUGAGACCUAAAUGCAGAACAGCAAACAGAGAAGACAGCGGGGAAAAUUCUACCCUCUGAGGAUGCGGAGGCAGCCAUGGUAACCUGUGCAUUCAUGAUGCACAUGAGCUGGCUGUGAAAAUGAUGGCCUUGCAAAAAGUGUCCAGACUUCACUUUGAAGAAACACAUCCAAUAAAGCAAGACAUAAUUGUAACACUGUACUAUCUGGCAUCAGACAAGCUCUGUUGAAAAAUAAAUUAAAACUUUGGGAGUUCAUGUCCAAAUACCUUCUUUAGCUUGGUUUAAACUUUGUUUAGAACUGGUCUUGAAGAAGGGAUCUUUAUUUAUCACAUUAGACAAUAUGUAUGAGGUGUGAUCCAUUAAGAUAUUAUACAUAUUUUUCUUCAAUUUAAACUAUUUCCUCUGAAGGUAUAUUACUAAUAAAUUACUAGUAAGGAAAUCUUUGCCUGAGGAUGAAAAUUUCAAUUUGCAUCUUUACCACAACUUUUGUCAUUAAUAAUUGUUAUGGAUCUGGCAGGUGUCCAUAUUUUCACAAAGUCUACAUUUAGACUCUAAACAGAAUUCAUGUAAUGUUGGCAGAUGUUCAGAUAUCAAGGCAGAGAGUGCAGAGGCAGCCACAGAGAAUGAUUGAUCUGACAGGAUAUCUGUGAAUUGUUGUAUGAAGGAAAACAAGCCUGUUUAUCAAACAAGGUAUUUACCUUCAUGUUCCAGGCAACUUUCUAGAAAUGCUGAAAUUCAGUAUAAUUCCAGGGUGAUACUUAAUACAGUGAAUCAAGAUAUCACAGUAUGUGCUGGCAGUACCUCAUGAAAGUCAAUGUGUUGAGCUCAAGUAACCUUUCCAUUGUACACAUGAACUGAGUAUCUGCUUGCUGUGUUUAGUGUUUGUCACAUCCUUGAAAGAUGAGGUGAAACUGAAGAUAGACAUUUUCAGGUCCUCUUUUUCCUGUUAUCACUGUAUGUAAUAAUGAGAUAUUGAAAUUGGAGCCAAAUCUACGUUUCCAAACGUAAAAGGGAAUAAAUCAGGCUUUUUAGCAAAGUAACUAUGCCAGCAAAAACUCUGUGGUGAAGGUCAGAGAAGGCUUUUCUGGAUUAAUAAUCUUAGACAUACAAUUACCACAACAAGAUGUAUAGAAAAAUAAGUCUGAGAACAUGGUAUAACCAGGUAUAUUUGUGUCACAGCUACUCAAAAUUAAUCUUGAUUUGUCAAAAGGUCUUCUGAUUUGCUUGGACGCACAGAUUGCCUUAAAGGUAACUGAAUAUAACUGGUGAUAUUUCAGUGAAUAACUUGACUAGAGUUAUUUGACAUUUAGUAGGAGGUUUCUGUGUUUUUCUAGGAGAAGAAGAUGUGUACAUCUGUGCUGCUAAACAGCUCUGAUCUAUGCCAGUUGUCAUGGUUUGUUGAGUUGAAUAGAAUCUUAGCUCACUUGGUGCUGGCCUGUUAAAACUGGAGCCAUGGAUUAUGUGCAGAGUGACAAUUAUCCAAAAACUCAGAGGGUUGUUUUAUUAACCCAAGCCAUGGAGCUGAGUGUUUUCUGCAGUGCACAUUGUAUCCUGGAACAGUCACUGUGCUGCACGAGCUGAAGGUUCCCUUGUAUUUUAUGAAACUGAGUGAAAUUUUAGGAAUUGUUUCUCUGCACCUCCAGCUUGAUUCUGCAGACACUUUCAGGCAGUUUUGUGGGCUGUAAUGCCUCUUUGCUCAUUUGGUCAUUGCCCAGUUUACUGUGUUCAUGGGAAAGGGAAGAGACAAAGGAUUCAGUGUGUCAGCUUUAGAAGGUGAUGGAUGGUGCUGGUGCAUCAGCCUGGCUGGAAAUGUCUGCUCAGCAGAACCUCAGCAAUCCUGCAGUGGAUGGGACCGAAAAAGAAAUUGUGAGAAUGCUCCUUUCAUGUUAGCAUUUAACUUCCAAAUGGAUCUCAAAUAUGUCUAUGGAAUGUGACAAGGGUUCAAAGCAGCAUGUAAUGGAUUCUGUAACUGGAAUUCUCUAUUACACCACUCUUUGACUUCUUCCAGCGCCCUGUAAGAACAGUUCUACAAAGAAUGGAAUGGGUCACAUUACACUGACUUUUUGUUGUUGUUGUUUGGUUUUGUUAGGACAGUUUAUACAAAUGCUGUGCCUGAAAAUCCGUGCAAGGUCAACUGACAUGGAAAAAAUGGUGGUGGUGGGGUUGGGCAGGAAACAAAAAAGUUGUUUAAAUUAACAACUUCUGGACUUAACAGUAUUUUUGUGACACUUGAUCAGAGUGUAGCCAGAAGCUACAACACAGAACCAGCAGGUUUGAAUCUCAUGAAAGAAAAGACUAAGAUCAAGUCUAAUUAGCUUUCAUUUAUAAAGAGGAAAAGAAAGAAAGAGAAGUUUACGGACACUCUCCUUCAGGACGUUCCACACUGAAGUGUUUACAGCCUGUAAACUAAUAAAAACAGACAGCUACACACAAGGCCAUCAAUAUAAGGCUUGUUGAGUGGAGAGGGUAAAGCUUAUUUCCCUCACUCUGAAAUGGAUUGAACCUUUUUGUUGCAUUUAUUUGUCUGUCUUGAAGAGAAUAUAGUUAUAUUCAGCUCUCAGAAAAGGCUUAUAUGGGUUGCAUGUGGGAUGGACUAUUGUCUAAGCUCAAAUUUUAUCUUUGUCCUCCUGUUUGUCUUUAAAUGGUCUGCAAAUUUAUUUGAAAUUUCCUGGGUUAGCUGACAACAGCAUCUUCCAAGGAGAUGAUCUUUCCUUACUCCAACUUCAUCUAAAAAUGCUGCUCCCUCUAGUCAGCUUGAGUAAAAAAAUUACAACAACAAAACCUCCUCCCUGCCCCAAAAGGCAGCUUUUCCAGGGCUAACACACAGCGAGGGUCUGACCCUUUAAAUGGAGAGAAAAAAUAUGCUGGAAGGUGGAAGAGGGAAAGUGCAGUUCUUUCCUGCAUGGUCUGGUAUUCAGAAGGUGAAUGUUGGUCCCCAAAAACUAUACCACUAAUCCUGCUAUUUUACUUUUCCCUUUUUCCAGUCCAAAGCAGGAGGAAUUUUUACACAAUCUUCAUUCCCAUACUUCCCCUGUGACCAAAAGUACUAUUUCUUUUCAUUUUCUGUUUCCAAUAAGGUUUUCUUUUUAUUUCCCAGAUCUCAGCUUUGAAGUCAGACUUGAACACCCAAAUCUUGACCAAUUUUCUUAAUGCUUUAAAAAGACCUGCCAUUUCCAUGAAAAACUGUGCUACAUUAAAUAUGAAUACUUCUGCAUCCAUUUCCUGCAAGCAAGUCACCUCAGCUGAUGCCCCUCAAGUCUUGGCAUGAAAUUGAUAUGUCUGUGCAUUUUUUAAAAAUUUACUCUGAACAUUUUUGUAAGCUGGAAGGGUGAGGUUUGGAGGGGUAACAAGAAGGUUUGAAACAGAAGCUCUGUUAAUGUGAUUGAGUUUGUUUCAGACUUGUGUGCAGUUGCCAGUUAAAUGUAGUGCUUAGGUAUCUUCUGCACCAAACAAGACUAGGACAAGAGAACCAGUUUUGUUGUUUGUCCCUAGAUCAUAUGUGAGAUUUUAAUCCUCUUUUUCCAAACAUUCUUUUUUUUCUUCUCACUGGUUCUUUAUAAUUGCUUUCAAUAUAUAGUGAGCACUAUAAACACAGAAUCCUGCUCAGUGUGUGACAAAAGGACUUCUGAUCUGCAUGUGGCAACAAUUCACAAGUUGUAGUUUGCUCCUACGUACUCCCAUAACAGAGGGACCAAGAGAUUCAAACUCAGCUGGUGCUGUGGCUCUAGAAAUAUUGUAUUAGUGCUAAAGUGUCUUUGCAUUGCUUUUAUUAAACAAAUACUGCUUUGGAAAGUAAAGCUCUCAUCUGCUUCCCACUGGACAAAUAUAAAAACCAUUUUCUUCCUUUUCUCUGAACUCUUACUGUGCAAGCCAUGUGGUUCUCCCCACUGUGAUCUGUUUUGCAAAAGAACCCUAUUAAUUGAGGAUGUUUUUCAGUAUUGCCUAAAGGUCACUACAAUCAAUUAUGGAGAAUAUUUGUAAAAGAGAAAUCUUGCCUAUAAAGCAAUAUAUCCCGAGUGUCUAAUUUGUUCACUGUAAUAAGGCCAUGCCUAGUUAUUGAUUAAUCAGUCUUUGUUGUCUGUUUGCUGAUUAUAUCAGGAAGUCUCUUAAUGUAAUGGAAUAUCAUAUACAGAUUGGUUUGCAAAAAUAUUUAUUUCUCCUAUUAUACUGCAUGUGUUCAACCUGAGGAGAUUAUUUUUCCAGGAUAGAUCAUUUUGAUUUGUUGUGGCAAGCCUAGAACUGAAAAUGGAAGCAUAUUUGGGUUUGAAACAUGAAUAGAAACAUGACUAAGGUCAUCAACACAGAAUUUUUUCUAUUUUGAUCCGAUUUGUAAAUCAUUACCUGAUGUAUUCCAUUCAAAAGUCUUAAUGUUAUGCAAUUAUACUGCAUCAAGAUAUGCAGUGCAGGAGUGUAAUUGAUCAAAAUGAAACUUAUGUUGUACGCCAAAAAAAUGGUUGUGGAUACAUUCAAAGUGGUUCUCAGGCUAUAUUUAAAAGUGUAACAUUUGGCUGUUUUUUUAAAUCAUAGAAAGGAAGCCAAGCAUAUUAAAAUUAAUUCAUGUUCAUGUGCUCGAUAUAAUUAAGGUUUUUAUCUUGUCAUGAAUCUUAGUGUGAUUUGUAGGACACAGAGUAGUGGCAGGAGUUAUGUACAUAGAAGAUGUUUUAAGUUAUAGUAUAAUUAUCAUUAUCUCUGUUGGCAGGAGUGCAUCAUUUCCAUUAAAUAACAUGCCUUGUUUCA
Long non-coding RNA from Corvus hawaiiensis (hawaiian crow), 5793 nucleotides. RefSeq lists it as uncharacterized. The record is from RefSeq and is a predicted model, not a curated record. The transcript is spliced from 7 exons. NCBI's taxonomy places the organism in Eukaryota, Metazoa, Chordata, Aves, Passeriformes, Corvidae.